GACCCGAAACCCGGUGAUCUAGCCAUGGGCAGGUUGAAGGUUGGGUAACACUAACUGGAGGACCGAACCGACUAAUGUUGAAAAAUUAGCGGAUGACUUGUGGCUGGGGGUGAAAGGCCAAUCAAACCGGGAGAUAGCUGGUUCUCCCCGAAAGCUAUUUAGGUAGCGCCUCGUGAAUUCAUCUCCGGGGGUAGAGCACUGUUUCGGCAAGGGGGUCAUCCCGACUUACCAACCCGAUGCAAACUGCGAAUACCGGAGAAUGUUAUCACGGGAGACACACGGCGGGUGCUAACGUCCGUCGUGAAGAGGGAAACAACCCAGACCGCCAGCUAAGGUCCCAAAGUCAUGGUUAAGUGGGAAACGAUGUGGGAAGGCCCAGACAGCCAGGAUGUUGGCUUAGAAGCAGCCAUCAUUUAAAGAAAGCGUAAUAGCUCACUGGUCGAGUCGGCCUGCGCG
RNAcentral lists this ribosomal RNA (456 nucleotides) under Escherichia coli. RNAcentral's name for it is "partial 23S ribosomal RNA". It matches the Rfam family "Bacterial large subunit ribosomal RNA", at positions 712 to 1165 of the family's 2925-position model. Lineage: Bacteria; Pseudomonadati; Pseudomonadota; Gammaproteobacteria; Enterobacterales; Enterobacteriaceae. The record is from RNAcentral.